RNAcentral lists this ribosomal RNA (468 nucleotides) under uncultured bacterium. Its description in RNAcentral is "partial 16S ribosomal RNA". It matches the Rfam family "Bacterial small subunit ribosomal RNA", at positions 28 to 507 of the family's 1533-position model. The record is from RNAcentral.
GACGAACGCUGGCGGCGUGCUUAACACAUGCAAGUCGAACGGAAAGGCCCUGCUUUUGUGGGGUUCUCGAGUGGCGAACGGGUGAGUAACACGUGAGUAACCUGCCCUUGACUUUGGGAUAACUUCAGGAAACUGGGGCUAAUACCGGAUAGGAGCUCCUGCUGCAUGGUGGGGGUUGGAAAUUUUCGGCGGUUGGGGAUGGACUCGCGGCUUAUCAGCUUGUUGGUUGGGUAGUUGCUUACCAAGGCUUUGACGGGUAGCCGGCCUGUGAGGGUGACCGGCCACCUUGGGACUGAGAUACGGACCAGAGUGCUACGGGAGGCAGCAGUGGGGAAUAUUGCACAAUGGGCGGAAGCGUGAUGCAGAAACGCCGCGUGCGGGAUGACGGCCUUCGGGGUGUAAACCGCUUUCGCCUGUGACGAAGCGUGAGUGACGGUAAUGGGUAAAGAAGCACCGGCUAACUACGUG